RNAcentral lists this ribosomal RNA (497 nucleotides) under uncultured bacterium. RNAcentral's name for it is "partial 16S ribosomal RNA". It matches the Rfam family "Bacterial small subunit ribosomal RNA", at positions 28 to 507 of the family's 1533-position model. The record is from RNAcentral.
GAUGAACGCUGGCGGCGUGCCUAAUACAUGCAAGUCGAGCGAACAGAUGAGGCGCUUGCUCCUCUGACGUUAGCGGCGGACGGGUGAGUAACACGUGGAUAACCUACCUAUAAGACUGGGAUAACUUCGGGAAACCGGAGCUAAUACCGGAUAAUAUCUUGAACCGCAUGGUUCAAUAGUGAAAGACGGUUUUGCUGUCACUUAUAGAUGGAUCCGCGCCGCAUUAGCUAGUUGGUAAGGUAACGGCUUACCAAGGCAACGCUGCGUAGCCGACCUGAGAGGGUUAGCGGCCACACUAGAACUGAGACACGGUCCAAACUCCUACGGGAGGCAGCAGUAGGGAAUCUUCCGCAAUGGGCGAAAGCCUGACGGAGCAACGCCGCGUGAGUGAUGAAGGUCUUCAGAUCGUAAAACUCUGUUAUUAGGGAAAAACAAAUGUGUAAGUAACUAUGGACGUCUUGACGGUACCUAAUCAGAAAGCCACGGCUAACUACGUG